Molecule: ribosomal RNA, 405 nt
Filed under: uncultured Alphaproteobacteria bacterium
Lineage: Bacteria; Pseudomonadati; Pseudomonadota; Alphaproteobacteria
Also listed under: 1 other name
Description: bacterial SSU rRNA
Rfam family: Bacterial small subunit ribosomal RNA
Source: RNAcentral
GUGGGGAAUAUUGGACAAUGGGCGAAAGCCUGAUCCAGCAAUGCCGCGUGAGUGAUGAAGGCCUUAGGGUUGUAAAGCUCUUUUACCCGGGAUGAUAAUGACAGUACCGGGAGAAUAAGCUCCGGCUAACUCCGUGCCAGCAGCCGCGGUAAUACGGAGGGAGCUAGCGUUAUUCGGAAUUACUGGGCGUAAAGCGCACGUAGGCGGCUUUGUAAGUAAGAGGUGAAAGCCCAGAGCUCAACUCUGGAAUUGCCUUUUAGACUGCAUCGCUUGAAUCAUGGAGAGGUCAGUGGAAUUCCGAGUGUAGAGGUGAAAUUCGUAGAUAUUCGGAAGAACACCAGUGGCGAAGGCGGCUGACUGGACAUGUAUUGACGCUGAGGUGCGAAAGCGUGGGGAGCAAACAGG